This is a non-coding RNA of Vicia faba (fava bean), 261 nucleotides long. NCBI's taxonomy places the organism in Eukaryota, Viridiplantae, Streptophyta, Magnoliopsida, Fabales, Fabaceae. The record is from the annotation of a GenBank genome assembly.
AUGCAAGUUUCAUAUUCAUUAAAUUUUAAGCAAUUUACAAGGAAAUUUACAAAGUUUAAAUACAAGUUACAAGUUUCUUAUUUACAAAGAAAAGAUAAUUAUUCUUCAAAUCUUCUUGCUCCAUCUUCAAGUGUCUUGUUCUCACGCCUUGCUAUAACUUAUUCUUCAAGUCUUCAGCCUUGCCUUGCCUUCUUCACCUUCCAUCAAUGUCACAUGAAAACAAACAAGGAAUUAGUUAGAACAAUCAUCAUCCAAACAUAA